GCAUAUCAAUAAGCGGAGGAAAAGAAACCAACCGGGAUUGCCUCAGUAACGGCGAGUGAAGCGGCAAGAGCUCAAAUUUGAAAGCUGGCCCCUCCGGGGUCCGCGUUGUAAUUUGCAGAGGAUGCUUCGGGUGCGGCCCCUGUCUAAGUGCCCUGGAACGGGCCGUCAGAGAGGGUGAGAAUCCCGUCUUGGGCAGGGUGCCCGUGCCCGUGUGAAGCUCCUUCGACGAGUCGAGUUGUUUGGGAAUGCAGCUCUAAAUGGGUGGUAAAUUUCAUCUAAAGCUAAAUACCGGCCGGAGACCGAUAGCGCACAAGUAGAGUGAUCGAAAGAUGAAAAGCACUUUGAAAAGAGAGUUAAACAGCACGUGAAAUUGUUGAAAGGGAAGCGCUUGCGACCAGACUCGGCCCCGGGGUUCAGCCAGCACUCGUGCUGGUGUACUUCCCCGGGGGCGGGCCAGCGUCGGUUUGGGCGGCCGGUCAAAGGCCCCAGGAAUGUAUCGCCCUCCGGGGUUGUCUUAUAGCCUGGGGUGCAAUGCGGCCAGCCCGGACCGAGGAACGCGCUUCGGCACGGACGCUGGCGUAAUGGUCGCAAACGACCCGUCUUGAAACACGGACCAAGGAGUCUAACAUCUACGCGAGUGUUCGGGUGUCAAACCCGUACGCGCAGUGAAAGCGAACGGAGGUGGGAGCCCCCCCGGGGCGCACCAUCGACCGAUCCUGAUGUCUUCGGAUGGAUUUGAGUAAGAGCGUAGCUGUGGGGACCCGAAAGAUGGUGAACUAUGCCUGAAUAGGGCGAAGCCAGAGGAAACUCUGGUGGAGGCUCGCAGCGGUUCUGACGUGCAAAUCGAUCGUCAAAUUUGGGUAUAGGGGCGAAAGACUAAUCGAACCAUCUGGUAGCUGGUUCCUGCG
This 908-nucleotide ribosomal RNA is filed under the name Aspergillus falconensis. RNAcentral's name for it is "LSU rRNA". It matches the Rfam family "Eukaryotic large subunit ribosomal RNA", at positions 38 to 962 of the family's 3401-position model. The record is from RNAcentral. Lineage: Eukaryota; Fungi; Ascomycota; Eurotiomycetes; Eurotiales; Aspergillaceae.